Molecule: ribosomal RNA, 428 nt
Filed under: uncultured bacterium
Lineage: Bacteria
Description: bacterial SSU rRNA
Rfam family: Bacterial small subunit ribosomal RNA
Source: RNAcentral
GAUGAACGCUAGCGGGAGGCUUAACACAUGCAAGUCGAGGGGCAGCACGAGGUAGCAAUACUUUGGUGGCGACCGGCAGACGGGUGAGUAACGCGUAUGCAACCUACCCUGUACUGGGGGAUAACCCGGAGAAAUUCGGACUAAUACCCCAUAGAAAUAUUGAGAGGCAUCUUGAGAUAUUUAAAGUUUCGGCGGUACGGGAUGGGCAUGCGUAACAUUAGCUAGUUGGUAAGGUAACGGCUUACCAAGGCUUUGAUGUUUAGGGGUCCUGAGAGGGUGAUCCCCCACACUGGUACUGAGACACGGACCAGACUCCUACGGGAGGCAGCAGUGAGGAAUAUUGGUCAAUGGGCGCAAGCCUGAACCAGCCAUCCCGCGUGCAGGAAGACGGCCCUAUGGGUUGUAAACUGCUUUUCCAGGAGGAGAAA